RNAcentral lists this ribosomal RNA (353 nucleotides) under uncultured fungus. RNAcentral describes it as "eukaryotic LSU rRNA". The stretch from base 298 to 353 matches the Rfam family "Eukaryotic large subunit ribosomal RNA", at positions 1 to 56 of the family's 3401-position model. Lineage: Eukaryota; Fungi. The record is from RNAcentral.
GUGAAUCAUCGAGUCUUUGAACGCACCUUGCGCCCUUUGGCUAUUCCGAAGGGCAUGCCUGUUUGAAUAUCAUGAACACCUCAACUCUCAUGGCUUGCCAUGAUGAGCUUGGACUUUGGGGGUCUUGGCUGGCCUACGGUCGGCUCCUCUCAAACGAAUCAGCUUGCCAGUGUUUGGUGGCGUCACAGGUGUGAUAACUAUCUACGCUUGUGGUUCUCCACCAGGUAACCUUCAGUGAUGGAGGUUCGCUGGAGCUCAUAAACGUCUCUCCUCUGCGAGGACAACUUCUUGAACGUUUGAUCUCAAAUCAGGUAGGACUACCCGCUGAACUUAAGCAUAUCAAUAAGCGGAGG